UUUCCGUAGGUGAACCUGCGGAAGGAUCAUUCAUAAUAAGUGUUUUAUGGCACUUUUUUAAAUCCAUAUCGACCUUGUGUGCAAUGUCAGGGUUGAUUUUUCUCUCGAGUUGAUCAGCUCCAAACAUCAACUAUAUCUCAACUCUUUGUCUGAAAAAUAUUAGUAAUAAAACAAUUCAAAAUACAGCUUUCAACAACGGAUCUCUUGGCUCUC
RNAcentral lists this unclassified non-coding RNA (213 nucleotides) under plant metagenome. RNAcentral describes it as "partial contains small subunit ribosomal RNA, internal transcribed spacer 1, and 5.8S ribosomal RNA". The record is from RNAcentral.